Molecule: unclassified non-coding RNA, 285 nt
Filed under: plant metagenome
Description: partial contains small subunit ribosomal RNA and internal transcribed spacer 1
Rfam family: Eukaryotic small subunit ribosomal RNA (bases 1-54)
Source: RNAcentral
GUAAGUAAAAGUCGUAACAAGGUUUCCGUAGGUGAACCUGCGGAAGGAUCAUUAUUGUAUAACCGAGGUGCGAGGGCUGUCGCUGACCCGAAAGGUCGUGCACGCCCGAGUGCCCUCACACACAUCCAUCUCACCCCUAUGUGCACCACCGCGUGGGUCCCCCUUUGGCUUGUUCGGAGGGGGGCUUACGUUUUCACACAAACUUUGUAUGCAGUGUAGAAUGUAUUUUUUGUUUUUGCGAUCACGCAAUCAAUACAACUUUCAACAACGGAUCUCUUGGCCCUC